RNAcentral lists this transfer RNA (69 nucleotides) under Cleptocaccobius convexifrons. RNAcentral describes it as "tRNA-Thr". Lineage: Eukaryota; Metazoa; Arthropoda; Insecta; Coleoptera; Scarabaeidae. The record is from RNAcentral.
GUUUUAAUAAUUUAUAUAAAUAAAAUAUUGGUCUUGUAAAUCAAAAAAAAGAAAAAUUCUUUUAAAACU